This 507-nucleotide ribosomal RNA is filed under the name Salmonella enterica. RNAcentral describes it as "bacterial SSU rRNA". It matches the Rfam family "Bacterial small subunit ribosomal RNA", at positions 1 to 499 of the family's 1533-position model. The record is from RNAcentral. Lineage: Bacteria; Pseudomonadati; Pseudomonadota; Gammaproteobacteria; Enterobacterales; Enterobacteriaceae.
AAAUUGAAGAGUUUGAUCAUGGCUCAGAUUGAACGCUGGCGGCAGGCCUAACACAUGCAAGUCGAACGGUAGCACAGAGAGCUUGCUCUCGGGUGACGAGUGGCGGACGGGUGAGUAAUGUCUGGGAAACUGCCUGAUGGAGGGGGAUAACUACUGGAAACGGUGGCUAAUACCGCAUAACGUCGCAAGACCAAAGAGGGGGACCUUCGGGCCUCUUGCCAUCAGAUGUGCCCAGAUGGGAUUAGCUAGUUGGUGAGGUAACGGCUCACCAAGGCGACGAUCCCUAGCUGGUCUGAGAGGAUGACCAGCCACACUGGAACUGAGACACGGUCCAGACUCCUACGGGAGGCAGCAGUGGGGAAUAUUGCACAAUGGGCGCAAGCCUGAUGCAGCCAUGCCGCGUGUAUGAAGAAGGCCUUCGGGUUGUAAAGUACUUUCAGCGGGGAGGAAGGUGUUGUGGUUAAUAACCACAGCAAUUGACGUUACCCGCAGAAGAAGCACCGGCUA